Molecule: long non-coding RNA, 1890 nt
Filed under: Nicotiana benthamiana
Lineage: Eukaryota; Viridiplantae; Streptophyta; Magnoliopsida; Solanales; Solanaceae
Description: long non-coding RNA (NBEN_LNC037346)
Source: RNAcentral
AAUCGCAAGGAAUUAAUGAAACAAUGUUUGCAAAUUUCAUAUGUUAAGAAAACACUUUUGACUUCGGGAAGAGACGAUUGUGGGCGAUUUUGAAAAGGGUUUCUUUCAGGUAAUGAUUGUUGGCCUCGGAUUAUGUCGACAUGGUGUAAAAAUAGUAGAUUAAACAAUGAAAUUCAAGGGUUUGGUUAAAAAUGGUGGUAAGGGCUUGGAGCCUAAGAGAGAGUAAAAUGGUGAUUUGAGAGGGUAAACGAACUCCGUUUUUUGAUAAAUCUUAUAUGCACGGACUCGUGGCGAGACGAGGAAUCUAAAGAUUUAUUUUUCAGAAUUUUUCGAGAAGUGGGCCCGGGGCUCAAUUUUUACCAACUUCGUGAUUUUUAACGUUUUUCGAAUAAUUGCAAUUGGGUUAUGCUUAUUCAGCCUAUACUAACCUAUUUGUUGUGGUUUUGAAUAGAUUCGACGCUCGUAGAAGAAGAUUCGAAAGGAAAAUGCAUUGCAGACCAGUCUACGACCUGUUAGAGGUGAGUAGUUUGUAUAGAUGAUGGCCUGAGGGGUUUGAAACCCCGGCUUAUCACAUCGUGACGUUAUGUUAGGGCGUGACUCGCACCUCAUGGAAGGUGCGAGAUUAUAAAUGAUUGGAUAUUGUGACUUGGUCCAUCCCGAGAGUUGAAUAUGAAUUAUUGGCGUCUGAUACGCACAUCGUGUUGUUGAUAAUUGGGCUUGAUGCCAUGUUUGGGGCGUUGUGAGAUCUGUAGUACCCGUCUAGGGCUAAUAUCUAUGUGGUAACAUGAUUUGCAUAAUCAUUCAUCUCAGUCUUGUGUUAUUCACUAUUAAUAAAUGCUAAGUCACCGUAUUUCUAAAAUUGACUAAUUAAAUUGUAUUCACCUAAAUAAAUUGGAAGCUGGCAAAGAAUCAGAUUAAAUCUGUUAUGUGACUUACAUGCAUACUGUGGAUUGAGGUUGGCUCGGGCUGCGCGCCGCAGCGGUUAUAUAUUGAUAUUGAGGCCGAGUGCCUGUUCUUAGCCGAUACAUGGCUGAUAUUGCGCUUGGGCUGAAGGAACCCCUCCGGAGUCUGUACACACCCCCAGUGAGCGUCGUCGAUGUUAAAUUAUAUGCAUGGUUGGCUCGGGCUGCACGCCGCAACGUAUUCAUGUGCAUUACAUUGCAUCUCUAUUUGAUACUUGGUUGGUGUUGUGAUACUGUUUGUUGUUAGUCCGUAGCUAAGUUAUAGGAUUAUUAGUUAUAGCUUUGCUUUGUGGUCUUUUGUGGAUUUAUUACUUUCAGUCAUUUUCUAUACUUAUUAUUCACUGAGUCGGUAGUACUUCCCCCUACUUCCUACACAUUGUGUGCAGAUUCAGGUACACCGGAGGCUUAGCUGAUUCUCGUAGUCUCCAGAGAUAUUUCCAGAGUCGCUGAGGUAGCUGCAUGACAUUCGCAGGACCUAGCAGCUCUUCAUUAUUUUUUCAUUUCAUUAUUAUUAUAUACUUUCCUAGAUUUUUAUUUUGGUACUCAGAUACUAUUAUUAUUACUCAGUUUUGUUUAGAGGCUCUAGACUCGUGACCCCAGAUCUUAUGGGUGUGAUCGAUUUUCGUACUUAUCUAUUUUACAUCAUUAGAAUUCUUGGAUUAUUAUUAUGGUUAAAUUCUCGGUUUGAGACUUAAAUGUUAAAUCAAAGCGAUUGUUGGUCAGGCUUACCUAGCGUUAGAGACGGAUGCCAUCACGACCGAGUUUGGGUCGUGACAAUAGUAGUAUAGAAUACUAUAGAUUAGAAUAGAAUUCACUAGAAUCUUCUAGAAUAGGCUGGGUACCAUCACGACCGGAAUUGGGCCGUGACAACAAGUUCAUGUAUGAUACGUAUCAAACGCAUGAACCUCGUUGAUUAUGCAGUUAGCUU